GAUGAAGAACGUAGCAAAAUGCGAUACUUGGUGUGAAUUGCAGAAUCCCGUGAACCAUCGAGUUUUUGAACGCAAGUUGCGCCCGAAGCCUUUUGGCCGAGGGCACGUCUGCCUGGGCGUCACGCAUCGCGUCGCCCCCCCACAAUUCUCCGUAAAGGGAACAUGUGUUUUGGGGGCGGAUAUUGGUCUCCCGUGCUCCUGGCGUGGUUGGCCGAAAUAGGAGUCCUUUCGAUGGACGCACGAACUAGUGGUGGUCGUAAAAACCCUCGUCUUUUGUUUCGUGCUGUUGCUCGCAAGGUAAACUCUUUAAAAACCCCAAUGCGUCGUCUCUUGACGACGCUUCGACCGCGACCCCAGGUCAGGCGGGACUACCCGCUGAGUUUAAGCAUAUCAAUAAGCGGAGGA
This 405-nucleotide unclassified non-coding RNA is filed under the name soil metagenome. RNAcentral describes it as "partial contains 5.8S ribosomal RNA, internal transcribed spacer 2, and large subunit ribosomal RNA". The stretch from base 1 to 122 matches the Rfam family "5.8S ribosomal RNA", at positions 35 to 154 of the family's 154-position model. The record is from RNAcentral.